CUUCCAUCUGGAACGAAGUCUGGAGACAGGUGCUGCAUGGCUGUCGUCAGCUCGUGUCGUGAGAUGUUGGGUUAAGUCCCGCAACGAGCGCAACCCUUGCCUUUAGUUGCCAGCAGUUCGGCUGGGCGACUCUAAAGGGGACUGCCGGUGUUAAACCGGAGGAAGGUGGGGAUGACGUCAAGUCCUCAUGGCCUUUAUGACCAGGGCUACACACGUACUACAAUGGCCGAUACAAAGGGCAGCGACACUGCGAGGUGAAGCCAAUCCCGUAAAAUCGGUCUCAGUCCGGAUUGGAGUCUGCAACUCGACUCCAUGAAGUUGGAAUCGCUAGUAAUCGUGGAUCAGCAUGCCACGGUGAAUACGUUCCCGGGCCUU
RNAcentral lists this ribosomal RNA (375 nucleotides) under uncultured Desulfobulbus sp. RNAcentral describes it as "bacterial SSU rRNA". It matches the Rfam family "Bacterial small subunit ribosomal RNA", at positions 1014 to 1382 of the family's 1533-position model. Lineage: Bacteria; Pseudomonadati; Thermodesulfobacteriota; Desulfobulbia; Desulfobulbales; Desulfobulbaceae. The record is from RNAcentral.